Ailuropoda melanoleuca (giant panda) is the source of this 938-nucleotide long non-coding RNA. RefSeq lists it as uncharacterized. The transcript has 2 exons. Lineage: Eukaryota; Metazoa; Chordata; Mammalia; Carnivora; Ursidae. The record is from RefSeq and is a predicted model, not a curated record.
GUUUCGGAGGGCUCCCCGGUGGGUGAGGCCCUCAAGGAACGACUUGGGUGGGGGCGACUGGUCCGGGGGAGUCCCGUGCGCCCCAAUGAAGCAUGGAACGGGCCUGCUCUCCUUCCAGUUGCCUGAAGCGAGGGAGCCGGGUUCCAGAGCCUCCGGGCGGGAUCUAGGGGCGUCCAGGGGUUGCCACGGAUGGUCUGAGGGCAUCGCAGACAUGGCUCACCUCAGGGGAUUUGCCAACCAGGUGUGAGCUGAGGCUGACGUGAAGUCGAGGAAACCACUCUGACGGCCCGGUGUUCUUCCCUGCUUGGCUCUGUUCUCCUUGAAGGGUUGGCUUGGGCAAGGUUUAGGUGGACUGCUGGGGGCUUGGGAUUGUUGGCACCCUCCGCUGGCCCCUGUGUGCUGAAUCGGGGGGGACUGGGGCGAGGGAGGAGCAGGAGGCCUGUGGGCCCGACUCGGGGAGGAGCCGGAGAACGGCUCAGCUCCAGACCCAGGGGGGCUCCUGUUGAGCAGGACAUCCUGGACCAGCUGUGGCCACAGAUGGGGACCGGGCCUUGCUGACCAGUGCUCAGUGAAGCUAGCAGAUUCUUCGCUUUGACAUUGGUGUCUGGUAAACUGCAUGCCUGUGCUGCUGGGGGAAAAGUCACCCUCCAGCUUGUUUUUGAGAGAGCUAUAGGGUCGAUUUUGUACCCGGGAAGAGAGCCUCACUUGCUUCAGCCUAGUCCUGGCUCUGGUGAGUGACAGAAGCUGCAAAGAAGGCACCUGCAAAGGAAGCGGGGCGCCCACUGAGUGACUCUGUCAAACCCCACCUUGUAAAUCCCACGACUGCUGAUCCCGCCUCCACAGAAUGCCACACGACCACAUGUCAUAGGCUUCGGGAUUUAUUUCCGUACUUGAAACGCAAAGGUGCUGACUAGAAAAAAGAAUUGAGUUGAAAAAAA